GACGAACGCUGGCGGCGUGCCUAAUACAUGCAAGUAGAACGCAGUUACGAACGGUUGAGUACCGCGUAGGAAACUGCCUCAUAGCGGCGGAUAACUAUUGGUAACGCUAGCUAAUACCGCAUACUGUGAGAUGGACCUGCGUUGUAUUAGCUAGUUGGUUAGGUAAAUGCUGACCAAGGCGAAGAUACAUAGCCGACCUUGGAGGGUGGUAGGGCACACUGGGACUGAGAAAAGGCCCAGAAUCCUCCGGGAGGCAGCAGUAGGGAAUCUUCGGCAAUGGACGGAAGUCUGGACGGGUAACGCCGCGGGAGUGAAGAAGGUUUUCGGAUCGUAAAGCUCUGUUGUUUGGUAAGCGGUAACUAACCAGAAAGGGACGGCUAACUACGUGCCAGCCGCCGCGGUAAUAC
Molecule: ribosomal RNA, 407 nt
Filed under: uncultured bacterium
Lineage: Bacteria
Description: partial 16S ribosomal RNA
Rfam family: Bacterial small subunit ribosomal RNA
Source: RNAcentral